RNAcentral lists this ribosomal RNA (253 nucleotides) under uncultured bacterium. Its description in RNAcentral is "partial 16S ribosomal RNA". It matches the Rfam family "Bacterial small subunit ribosomal RNA", at positions 524 to 776 of the family's 1533-position model. The record is from RNAcentral.
UACGUAGGGUGCAAGCGUUAUCCGGAAUUAUUGGGCGUAAAGAGCUCGUAGGCGGUUUGUCGCGUCUGCUGUGAAACCCGGAGGCUCAACCUCCGGCCUGCAGUGGGUACGGGCAAACUAGAGUGCGGUAGGGGAGAUUGGAAUUCCUGGUGUAGCGGUGGAAUGCGCAGAUAUCAGGAGGAACACCGAUGGCGAAGGCAGAUCUCUGGGCCGUAACUGACGCUGAGGAGCGAAAGCGUGGGGAGCGAACAGG